AAAUCUUAGAAAUUUUCUUCUUUAAAUUUGCAAUUUAAUAUUUUUACUUAUAAAAUAUAAGAUU
This 64-nucleotide transfer RNA is filed under the name Ixodes cornuatus. RNAcentral describes it as "tRNA-Cys". The record is from RNAcentral. Lineage: Eukaryota; Metazoa; Arthropoda; Arachnida; Ixodida; Ixodidae.